RNAcentral lists this microRNA precursor (87 nucleotides) under Chinchilla lanigera (long-tailed chinchilla). RNAcentral describes it as "miRNA (ENSCLAG00000021230.1)". The record is from RNAcentral. Lineage: Eukaryota; Metazoa; Chordata; Mammalia; Rodentia; Chinchillidae.
UACAGUUACUUGGAUAGAUUUACACAGUGAGCCAAGUGUGGCAUGUACCUGUAGUUCCUGCUACUCAGGAGGCUGAGGCAGGAGGAU